RNAcentral lists this ribosomal RNA (1339 nucleotides) under Mycolicibacterium iranicum. Its description in RNAcentral is "bacterial SSU rRNA". It matches the Rfam family "Bacterial small subunit ribosomal RNA", at positions 72 to 1430 of the family's 1533-position model. The record is from RNAcentral. Lineage: Bacteria; Bacillati; Actinomycetota; Actinomycetes; Mycobacteriales; Mycobacteriaceae.
GGACCCUUUGGGGUUAGUGGCGAACGGGUGAGUAACACGUGGGUGAUCUGCCCUGCACUUUGGGAUAAGCCUGGGAAACUGGGUCUAAUACCGGAUAGGACUACGCACUGCAUGGUGUGUGGUGGAAAGCUUUUGCGGUGUGGGAUGGGCCCGCGGCCUAUCAGCUUGUUGGUGGGGUGAUGGCCUACCAAGGCGACGACGGGUAGCCGGCCUGAGAGGGUGACCGGCCACACUGGGACUGAGAUACGGCCCAGACUCCUACGGGAGGCAGCAGUGGGGAAUAUUGCACAAUGGGCGCAAGCCUGAUGCAGCGACGCCGCGUGAGGGAUGACGGCCUUCGGGUUGUAAACCUCUUUCGCCAGGGACGAAGCGCAAGUGACGGUACCUGGAGAAGAAGGACCGGCCAACUACGUGCCAGCAGCCGCGGUAAUACGUAGGGUCCGAGCGUUGUCCGGAAUUACUGGGCGUAAAGAGCUCGUAGGUGGUUUGUCGCGUUGUUCGUGAAAACUCACAGCUUAACUGUGGGCGUGCGGGCGAUACGGGCAGACUGGAGUACUGCAGGGGAGACUGGAAUUCCUGGUGUAGCGGUGGAAUGCGCAGAUAUCAGGAGGAACACCGGUGGCGAAGGCGGGUCUCUGGGCAGUAACUGACGCUGAGGAGCGAAAGCGUGGGGAGCGAACAGGAUUAGAUACCCUGGUAGUCCACGCCGUAAACGGUGGGUACUAGGUGUGGGUUUCCUUCCUUGGGAUCCGUGCCGUAGCUAACGCAUUAAGUACCCCGCCUGGGGAGUACGGCCGCAAGGCUAAAACUCAAAGGAAUUGACGGGGGCCCGCACAAGCGGCGGAGCAUGUGGAUUAAUUCGAUGCAACGCGAAGAACCUUACCUGGGUUUGACAUGCACAGGACGCCGGCAGAGAUGUCGGUUCCCUUGUGGCCUGUGUGCAGGUGGUGCAUGGCUGUCGUCAGCUCGUGUCGUGAGAUGUUGGGUUAAGUCCCGCAACGAGCGCAACCCUUGUCUCAUGUUGCCAGCACGUUAUGGUGGGGACUCGUGAGAGACUGCCGGGGUCAACUCGGAGGAAGGUGGGGAUGACGUCAAGUCAUCAUGCCCCUUAUGUCCAGGGCUUCACACAUGCUACAAUGGCCGGUACAAAGGGCUGCGAUGCCGUGAGGUGGAGCGAAUCCUUUCAAAGCCGGUCUCAGUUCGGAUCGGGGUCUGCAACUCGACCCCGUGAAGUCGGAGUCGCUAGUAAUCGCAGAUCAGCAACGCUGCGGUGAAUACGUUCCCGGGCCUUGUACACACCGCCCGUCACGUCAUGAAAGUCGGUAACACCCGAAGCCGG